This 468-nucleotide ribosomal RNA is filed under the name uncultured bacterium. RNAcentral describes it as "partial 16S ribosomal RNA". It matches the Rfam family "Bacterial small subunit ribosomal RNA", at positions 28 to 507 of the family's 1533-position model. The record is from RNAcentral.
GGCGAACGCUGGCGGCGUGCUUAACACAUGCAAGUCGAACGGAAAGGCCCUGCUUUUGUGGGGUGCUCGAGUGGCGAACGGGUGAGUAACACGUGAGUAACCUGCCCUAGACUUUGGGAUAACUUCAGGAAACUGGGGCUAAUACCGGAUAGGAGCUCCUGCUGCAUGGUGGGGGUUGGAAAGUUUCGGCGGUUGGGGAUGGACUCGCGGCUUAUCAGCUUGUUGGUGGGGUAGUGGCUUACCAAGGCUUUGACGGGUAGCCGGCCUGAGAGGGUGACCGGCCACAUUGGGACUGAGAUACGGCCCAGACUCCUACGGGAGGCAGCAGUGGGGAAUAUUGCACAAUGGGCGGAAGCCUGAUGCAGCAACGCCGCGUGCGGGAUGACGGCCUUCGGGUUGUAAACCGCUUUCGCCUGUGACGAAGCGUGAGUGACGGUAAUGGGUAAAGAAGCACCGGCUAACUACGUG